UAGAGUUUGAUCCUGGCUCAGGACGAACGCUGGCGGCGUGCCUAACACAUGCAAGUCGAGCGGAGACAUAUCACGGAGAUAAAGUUUUCGGACGGAGUCGAAGAGGUAUGUUUUAGCGGCGGACGGGUGAGUAACGCGUGAGCAAUCUGUCCUGCACAGGGGGAUAACACAGCGAAAGUUGUACUAAUACCGCAUAAGACCACGACCGGGCAUCCGGAUGGGGUCAAAGGAGCAAUCCAGUGCAGGGUGAGCUCGCGUCCGAUUAGAUAGUUGGUGAGGUAACGGCCCACCAAGUCGACGAUCGGUAGCCGACCUGAGAGGGUGAUCGGCCACAUUGGGACUGAGACACGGCCCAAAUUCCUACGGGAGGCAGCAGUGGGGAAUAUUGGGCAAUGGGGGGAACCCUGACCCAGCAAUGCCGCGUGAAUGAUGAAGCCCUAUGGGUUGUAAAUUCUGUUGUUUGGAAGACUGUAGAAUAGGAAAUGAUUUCUGCUUGACGGU
RNAcentral lists this ribosomal RNA (501 nucleotides) under uncultured bacterium. RNAcentral describes it as "bacterial SSU rRNA". It matches the Rfam family "Bacterial small subunit ribosomal RNA", at positions 1 to 476 of the family's 1533-position model. The record is from RNAcentral.